Molecule: small nuclear RNA, 338 nt
Filed under: Jaculus jaculus (lesser Egyptian jerboa)
Lineage: Eukaryota; Metazoa; Chordata; Mammalia; Rodentia; Dipodidae
Description: 7SK RNA (ENSJJAG00000000862.1)
Rfam family: 7SK RNA
About the family: 7SK was discovered as an abundant small nuclear RNA in the mid-70s but a possible function has only recently been suggested. Two independent studies have found that 7SK RNA binds the CDK9/cyclin T complex (known as elongation factor P-TEFb).
Source: RNAcentral
GGAUGUGAGAUGAUCUGGCCAGGUGACAUUGUCACCCAGUUACAGAGUUGAUUCAGCCGAUCGGCCUGGCUAGGUGGGUGCCCCCUUCCUCCAUCAAGGGCCUAGCUAGGCGGGUGCCCCCUCCUCCCUCAAGGCUCCAUCCUUCUUGCAGCUGCACAUUCGGCCAAACAGGACGGCUCUUCCCCAAUACAGAAGGGCUGUUCUCUGAUCAAGGGUUGAGGAGUAGCUAUGUUUCCUUGCUUGAAUACCCACACAAGUUCUCAAAUGUUACCAUUCCUGGCUGUAGCUGUCGAGCACAGACAUCGCCUUUGUGUUCCCCGGGAAGGUAGAAAGCUCAA